This 490-nucleotide ribosomal RNA is filed under the name uncultured bacterium. Its description in RNAcentral is "partial 16S ribosomal RNA". It matches the Rfam family "Bacterial small subunit ribosomal RNA", at positions 29 to 507 of the family's 1533-position model. The record is from RNAcentral.
AUUGAACGCUGGCGGCAUGCCUUACACAUGCAAGUCGAACGGCAUCACGGGAAAGCUUGCUCUCCUGCGGGCGCGGGGCAAACGGGUGUGUAACACAGAGGAACGUCCUGGCAAGCGGGGGAUACUCCGUCGAAAGACGGGCAAAUCCCGCAUACACAUUUCAGCGGAUAGCUGGAGACUUUAGGGCGGCUUGCUAGCCGAGCGUCGGAUGUCCGAUUAGCUAGUUGGUGGGGUAAAGGCUUACCAAGGCGACGAGCGGUAGCGGGUCUGAGAGGACGAUCCGCCACACUGGGACUGAGACACGGCCCAGACUCCUACGGGAGGCAGCAGUGGGGAAUCUUGGACAAUGGGGGCAACCCUGAUCCAGCAAUGCCGCGUGGGUGAAGAAGGCCUUCGGAUUGUAAAGCCCUUUCAUUAGGGAAGAACACGGCGGGACGAAUAACCCUGCUGGAUGACGGUACCUGAAGAAGAAGCCCCGGCUAACUACGUG